UCCAGUCGCAGCAGAAUUAUAGGAGAAUUU
RNAcentral lists this non-coding RNA (30 nucleotides) under Rattus norvegicus (Norway rat). Lineage: Eukaryota; Metazoa; Chordata; Mammalia; Rodentia; Muridae. The record is from RNAcentral.